RNAcentral lists this ribosomal RNA (253 nucleotides) under uncultured bacterium. Its description in RNAcentral is "partial 16S ribosomal RNA". It matches the Rfam family "Bacterial small subunit ribosomal RNA", at positions 524 to 776 of the family's 1533-position model. The record is from RNAcentral.
GACAGAGGGUGCAAACGUUGUUCGGAAUUACUGGGCGUAAAGCGCGUGUAGGCGGCCCUGCAAGUCGGGUGUGAAAUCCCACGGCUCAACCGUGGAAGUGCAUUCGAAACUGCAGGGCUAGAGUCCUGGAGAGGAAGGUGGAAUGCUUGGUGUAGAGGUGAAAUUCGUAGAUAUCAAGCGGAACACCGGUGGCGAAGGCGGCCUUCUGGACAGUGACUGACGCUGAUGCACGAAAGCUAGGGGAGCAAACAGG